Molecule: ribosomal RNA, 497 nt
Filed under: uncultured bacterium
Lineage: Bacteria
Description: partial 16S ribosomal RNA
Rfam family: Bacterial small subunit ribosomal RNA
Source: RNAcentral
GAUGAACGCUGGCGGCGUGCUUAAUACAUGCAAGUCGAGCGAACAGACGAGGAGCUUGCUCCUUUGACGUUAGCGGAGGACGGGUGAGUAACACGUGGAUAAUCUACCUAUAAGACUGGGAUAACUUCGGGAAGCCGGAGAUAAUACCGGAUAAUAUAUUGAACCGCAUGGUUCAAUGGUGAAAGACGGUUUUGCUGUAACUUAUAGCUGGAUCCGCGCCGCAUUAGCUAGUUGGUAAGGUAACGGCUUACCAAGGCAACGAUGCGUAUCCGAACUGAGAGACUGAUCGGCCACACUAGAACUGAGACACGCACCAGGCUCCUACGGGAGGCAGCAGUAUGGAAUCGUCCGCAAUGGGCGAGAGCCUUACAGAGCGACGCCGCGUGAGUUGUAAAAAUCUUCCGAUCGUAAAACUCUGUUAUUAGGUAAGAACAAAUUUGUAAGGAACUAUACACGUCUUGACGGUACCUAGUCAGAAAGCCACGGCUAACUACGUG